AGACUACUAAGAUCUUGGGAAAAGCUUCAUAAUGCACUGGAAAGUGAAAAGAAAAUUUGACUAUAUUAUGUACAUGUUGUCCCAUUGUGUAACAAUAUGUGCAUAUAUGUAGAAAAACAUAAAAAAUGGUAACAGUGGUUAUCUCUUGCUAUUGGGUGAUGUUUAACUUCUUAUUUACUUGCUUCUCUAAGAAAAAUUUAAAAACAUUUUAAUAUAAACAGCUAUAUUUAUAUUUUUAAGGAUUAAAUGAAUAAUAUAUUAGAAAAUACUACAGAAAAAAAUACCACAGAAAAGUACAAAGAAGAAAAUAAAAGAGCCCUGGAAGUCUCAUUGAUAUUCCAUAGAAUAUCAAUAUUAAUAUUUACUUAUGAAUACUCAGAUUCUUCUUUAUGCAUCUAUGUGUAUAUAGAUCCAAAACAUUUCAUACAUGGGAUCAUACAAACCAAUAUUCUAGUCUUGCUUUUUAGCUCAAAUAUUUACUUUUUAAUUGAAGUAUAAUUGAAUAUAAUAUAAUUGAAUAUAACAUUCGCAUUAGUUCUUUAACUUAAGUAUUUACUUUUUAAUUGAAUAUAAUACAAUUGAAUAUAAUAUAACAUUAUAUUAGUUUCAGGUAUACAACAUAAUGAUUUGCUAUUUGUAUACAUCACAAAGUGAUCAUCACAAUAAAUCUAGUUACCAUCUGUCCUCAUACAAAGUUACCAGAAAAAUUAAGUUUUUUUCCCUUAUGAGAACUUUCAAGAUCUAUUUUCUUAACAACUUUUAAAUAUAUAAUACAAUGUUAUUGACUAUAGUCAUCAUGCUGUACCUUACAUUCCCAUGACUUAUUUAUGACUGGAAGUUUGUACCUUUGGAUCCCUUUCACCUAUUUCAGCCACACCCCAACAUCCCUCCCCACUAGCGACCACCAUUCUAUUUUCUAUAUCUUUGAGUUUUGUUUGUUCAUGUGUUAUGUUUUUAGAUUCCACAUUUAAGUGAAAUCAUAUGGUGUUUGCCUUUAUCUGACUUAUUUCACUUACCAUAUUACCCACUGGGUCCAUCCAUGUUGUUGCAAAUGGCAAGAUUUCAUUCUUUUUAUGGCAGAAUAGUAUUCCACUUUAUAUGUAUAUCACAUCUUCUUUAUCCGUUCAUCCAUUGAUAAACACUUAGGUUGUUUCCAUAUCUUAGCUAUUGUAAAUAAUGUUUCAGUGAAUGUGGGGAUGUGUAUAUCUUCAAAUUAAUGUUUUCGUUUUCUUCAGAGAAAUACCGAGAAGUGGAAUUGCUGGAUCAUAUGGUAGUUCUAUUUUUCCUUUUUGAGGAAUAAUCUGCAUGGUGGUUGUACCAAUCUACACUUCUACCAAUAGGGCACAAGUGUUCUCUAUAACCACAGCCAUGUCAGCAUUUGUUAUUUCUUAUAUUUUUGAUAAUAGCUAUUCUGACAAGUGUGAGAUUAUAUUUCAUCGUGAUUUUAAUUUGCAUCUCCCUGAUGAUUAGUGAUGUUGAGCAUCUUUUCCUGUGCCUAUUUGGCCAUGUGCAUGUCUUCCUUGGAAAAAUGUAUAUUCAGAUCCUCUGUCCAUUUGUAAUUGGAUUAUGUAUUUUUUUUUUGUUUUUGAGUUGAAUAAAUUCUUUAUAUAUUUUGGCUGUUACCCACCUCUCAGAUAUAUGCCUUGCAAAUAUAUUCUCCCACUCAGUAGGUUGCAUUUUCAUCUGUUGAUUGUUUCCUUCCCUGUGCAGAUGCUUUUUGGUUUGAUGUAGUCCCACUUAUAUAUUGUUACUUUUGUCACCACUGCCUUUGGAGUCAGAGCUGAAAAAAUAUUAUGAAGAGCAGUCUCAAGGAGCAGACCCUCUAUGAUUUCUUCUAGGACUUUUAUGGUUUCCAGUCUUCUAUGCAGGUGUAAUCCAUUUUGAGUUGGUUUUUUGUAUGGUAUAAGAUUAAUGGUCCAGUUUCAUUCUUUUGCAUGUGGCCCUCCAGUUUUCCCAACACCAUUUAUUGAAAACAUUGUACUUUCCCCAUUGUAUAUAUAUUCUUGCAUCCUUUGUUGUAAAUCAACUGAUCAUAUAUGCAUGGGUUUAUUUGUGGACUCUAUUAUUCUAAUGAUCUAUGUGUCUGUUUUUAUGCAAAUACCAUACUGUUUUGAUUACUAUUAUUUUAUAGUAUAGUUUGAAAUUUGGGAGUGUGAGCUCUCCAGCCUUGUUAUUCUUUCUCAAGAUUGUUUUGGCUAUUCAGGAUCUUUUGUGGUUCCACACAAAUUUUAGAAUUGUUUGUUCUAUUUCUGUGGAAAAAUACCAUUGGAAUUUUGAUAGGGAUUGCAGUGAAUCUACAGAUUUCAUUUGGUAAGAUGGACAUUUUAACAAUAUUAAUUCUUCCAACCCAUGAGCACAAAAUAGCUUUCCAUUUAUUAGUGUCUUCUGCAAUUUAUUUCAUCAAUGUCUCAGAGUUUUCAGAGUACAGAUCUUUUACCUCCUUGCUUAAAUUUAUUUCUAGAUAUUUUAGUCUUUUUGAUGCACUUAUAAAUGGGAUUAUUCUCUUAAAUUCUCUUUCUGAUAGUUCAUUGUUAGUAUACAAAAAUGCAGGAAUGGUGUGGAGGGUGGAGUGCUCACCUGCUGACACUUACAGGCUAGAGUAAGGAUAAAAAAACGACAUCCACGCACACCUGCAAUCAGCAAGGCAGAGGGAGAGUGUGAAGAUGGCUCCCGCCUGUGCCUCCGACCCAGAGAGAGUCCCAACAAGCUUCUGCACCGCCAGCAAGUGACUUAAGAUCCAGGACCUGCCUGCCUGUAUUCCCUUCCAGGCUGCCAAAUGCCAAGACCUGCUCCAGACGAAGGCUGCUUUGGCCAACCAAGACUCAUCUGCCCCCAGGGGGUCACAUGGCCAAGCCAGAGGAGACAGCAAGAAGCCAAAUCAACUCUGGGCCAGGUGGAUUCCCCAUUUAAGAGCCAUUGAUGCUUUGCGGUAAAGACCAGAGCGUGGAGAGAGGUGCUGGUGCCGCCCUUUCAGGAGCUACCCCUCCUGCGGUGAGUACAACCAAUUCGUGUAUGAACAGAUCAAUUUGCAUGGUAUUAGUUAUUUAUUUUAUAGUAGUUAUUCCCUCAGUCGUGGUAUGCCCUAUACCAUUAUUCGCCACUUGCCAAGUGACUUAAGAGCACGAUAGCGAUCAUUCAAAUCUAUUAAACUUUCUUUCUGAGUUUGAAAGUAAUUAGCAGCCUUCUGGCCUACGUUGCCUAGGGCAGGAUGGUGAAUAUUGAAAGAGUAAUCUUGCCAUUUGAAGUGCUUCUGGCUUGAAUAAAUGUUUGCUCAGUUGCAGCAAUGCCCAGGUAAUUCCUUGGUAAUGAAGCAGGGAUCACCUUCCAGCGCUGGGGCGCUGGGGCGAGCAGGAAAAAUUAGUAGA
This is a long non-coding RNA of Acinonyx jubatus (cheetah), 3365 nucleotides long. RefSeq lists it as uncharacterized. The record is from RefSeq and is a predicted model, not a curated record. The transcript has 3 exons. NCBI's taxonomy places the organism in Eukaryota, Metazoa, Chordata, Mammalia, Carnivora, Felidae.